RNAcentral lists this ribosomal RNA (115 nucleotides) under Erwinia pyrifoliae DSM 12163. The record is from RNAcentral. Lineage: Bacteria; Pseudomonadati; Pseudomonadota; Gammaproteobacteria; Enterobacterales; Erwiniaceae.
UGGCGGCUNUAGCGCGGUGGUCCCACCUGACCCCAUGCCGAACUCAGAAGUGAAACGCCGUAGCGCCGAUGGUAGUGUGGGGUCUCCCCAUGCGAGAGUAGGGAACUGCCAGGCA